AUUGAACGCUGGCGGCAGGCCUAACACAUGCAUGUCGGACGGUAGCACAGAGGAGCUUGCUCCUCGGGUGACGAGUGGCGGACGGGUGAGUAAUGUCUGGGGAUCUGCCCGAUAGAGGGGGAUAACCACUGGAAACGGUGGCUAAUACCGCAUAACGUCGCAAGACCAAAGAGGGGGACCUUCGGGCCUCUCACUAUCGGAUGAACCCAGAUGGGAUUAGCUAGUAGGCGGGGUAACGGCCCACCUAGGCGACGAUCCCUAGCUGGUCUGAGGGGAUGACCAGCCACACUGGAACUGAGAAACGGUCCAGACUCCUACGGGAGGCAGCAGUGGGGAAUAUUGCACAAUGGGCGCAAGCCUGAUGCAGCCAUGCCGCGUGUAUGAAGAAGGCCUUCGGGUUGUAAAGUACUUUCAGCGGGGAGGAAGGCGAUAAGGUUAAUAACCUUGUCGAUUGACGUUACCCGCAGAAGAAGCACCGGCUAACUCCGUGCCAGCCGCCGCCGUAA
This 506-nucleotide ribosomal RNA is filed under the name uncultured bacterium. Its description in RNAcentral is "partial 16S ribosomal RNA". It matches the Rfam family "Bacterial small subunit ribosomal RNA", at positions 29 to 523 of the family's 1533-position model. The record is from RNAcentral.